RNAcentral lists this microRNA (20 nucleotides) under Apis mellifera (honey bee). RNAcentral's name for it is "ame-miR-6050-5p". The record is from miRBase by way of RNAcentral. Lineage: Eukaryota; Metazoa; Arthropoda; Insecta; Hymenoptera; Apidae.
GCGGGUUGUGGAGGGUGGAA